CAUCUUUCCUGCUGCCCUCUGGUUGGCUGCAGGCUGGCUGCACAGUCCAGCUCCUGCUGGACACCAGUCUCACCAGAGGAGAAGGGGAUGUCUCAGAGAUGCCCCUUCUGCAGGCUCCCUCAUUUACCAUGCCUCUCGGGCAAACGGGGCAAAUGUGGUUGGCUAAGAUGAGUCAGAAUCUUCCCUGGGUGUCUUCAUCUGUUUGGGCUGCUGUAUCAAAGUACCAUCAGCUGGUGGAUUCUAAACAACAGAAAUUUAUAAACAGCCCUAGCAGUCCUGGAGGCUGGAAGUCCAAGAUCAAGGUGCCAGCAGGUCACUGUCUGGUGGAGUCCCACUUCCUUCAUCGAUGGCUUCUUCUUGCUGUGUCCUCAUGUGGAUGGCGGGCUGAGGUGUCUCUCUUGAGCCUCUUUUAUGAGGGCACAAAUCCAACUCAGGAGGCUCCACCCCCAUGACCUAAUCUCCUCCCAAAGGCCCCACCUCCUAAACCGUCACCUUGGUGUUGGUUUCAACACACGAAUUUUAGGGGGACACAGGAUUCAGCCCAUAGUAUUUGGGCAGGAGAUGACAUCACUGAAGGAAGAAAAUGAUUUUGACGUGUGAAAUGCAGAGUCAAAUAGAUUUCCCAGAAGAAUUUCAACUGUGGAAUGAAGGGCCUGUGGGAGUUAUGAUGAAGCGUCAAGCCUGGAGGGGAGAGAAGAGGGGAGGAAUGGUGUCAAAGAGUGAUUGAUAACAGAAGUGUCCAGAUGUUUUUAUUAUUUACAUUUUACUCCCAGUGCUGUAUGUGUAAAUACUAGCAAG
RNAcentral lists this long non-coding RNA (798 nucleotides) under Homo sapiens (human). RNAcentral's name for it is "HSALNT0331725". Lineage: Eukaryota; Metazoa; Chordata; Mammalia; Primates; Hominidae. The record is from RNAcentral.